Molecule: small RNA, 119 nt
Filed under: Salmonella enterica
Lineage: Bacteria; Pseudomonadati; Pseudomonadota; Gammaproteobacteria; Enterobacterales; Enterobacteriaceae
Also listed under: 2 other names
Description: RtT sRNA
Rfam family: RtT RNA
About the family: This family represents a bacterial cis-regulatory element known as RtT RNA. The exact function of RtT is unknown although it is thought that it may be involved in changing the cellular response in relation to amino acid starvation.
Source: RNAcentral
UGUAUCUGAAGUCUGACGAGGAUGAGAACCUCCGGGGGCAAGAGGUUCGACCCGAGCGAAGCGAGAAAACGUUGCGCCAGCAACGGCCCGCAGGGCGAGCCAUCCUCUAUCACCGGCAG